Molecule: ribosomal RNA, 468 nt
Filed under: uncultured bacterium
Lineage: Bacteria
Description: partial 16S ribosomal RNA
Rfam family: Bacterial small subunit ribosomal RNA
Source: RNAcentral
GACGAACGCUGGCGGCGUGCUUAACACAUGCAAGUCGAACGGAAAGGCCCUGCUUUUGUGGGGUGCUCGAGUGGCGAACGGGUGAGUAACACGUGAGUAACCUGCCCUUGACUUUGGGAUAACUUCAGGAAACUGGGGCUAAUACCUGAUAGUAGCUCCUGCUGCAUGGUGGGGGUUGGAAAGUUUCGGCGGUUGGGGAUGGACUCGCGGCUUAUCAGCUUGUUGGUGGGGUAGUGGCUUACCAAGGCUUUGACGGGUAGCCGGCCUGAGAGGGUGACCGGCCACAUUGGGACUGAGAUACGGCCCAGACUCCUACGGGAGGCAGCAGUGGGGAAUAUUGCACAAUGGGCGGAAGCCUGAUGCAGCAACGCCGCGUGAGGGAUGAAGGCCUUCGGGUUGUAAACCGCUUUCGCCUGUGACGAAGCGUGAGUGACGGUAAUGGGUAAAGAAGCACCGGCUAACUACGUG